CAAUUAAUUCUUUUACAUUUAAUAAAUUCCGCCUUGACAAACAGAAUGAUUUUUAAUAAUAAAAAGAAAAACAUUAAAAAAACUGUCCCCAAACUUUGACCGGUAGUGGAAAUUCAGUCAAUUUUGUCUGAACCGUUUCUUUUUAUUCUCCCUGAGCUCUUUGUGACCUCUUUUAGGAGUGACGGGUGAGGUGGACUCGCGCACCAUUGAGGUGUUGGCGAGCUGGAUGCUGGAGCACCCCAUUGCAGAGGAGCAGCAGGCAGGAGAGGGUUCAUCUACAGGGGGCGCCACUGAUACACCCUCAUCUGAAGGGCCCGAGACGGUCCAGUGCCCUGAGUCCCCUGCACCUCUGACCCUGCAGGACAGCCGUGAACCUAACGAUAGUCUGUUAGCAGGUUUGGACCUGGUGGAGAGAGAGAACUUUUUAGAUGUUCACCUCACCAGAAACAGACCUCCACCUGCACGGAGACAGCGGUCUGGAGUAGGACAAAGAACGUCCUUUAGGAGAGCAGACUCCCCGUCACCCAGUCCUGUUCCAGCGCUGUACAGACAGGAGGUUGGAGUGGCGGAAUGGCCGGAGAGGGCUGAAACGCACCCGUUUGCUGCUGAAGAAGACUCCGAGCUGGGCUACAUGGAUGAUCCAUACCAGGAGGAGCCCUACGAGGAGCUGCUUACCCCAGAGUUCAUCACCUCUGAGAGGGACACACUCUGGAUGGUAGAGGGAAGAGAAGAGCACCCAGAGCCACAUGAGAUGGUGGAGUGUGAGCUGUGUAACACACUCACCCUGCAGUUCAACAACCACAUGAAGCGCCAUCACCCAGGCUGUGGUCAGAGCGCCGGCCGCAGGGGUUACCGCAGCAACGGGGCCUAUGUGGACGGCUGGUUCGGCGGUGAAUGUGGAUCCGGCAGCCCAUACUACCUCCUGUGCAGUACAUGCAGGGAAAAGUAUCUGGCCUUAAACAUGGGAGUUAUGAGCUCCAAACAGGACAGGUGAGAGUGAAUGAUUUUUUUGUGCUACUUUUGCUAUUUAACAACCUAUAUAUGAAGAGUUAUUAGUUACUCAUAAUUUAUAAUUAUGAAAUGACAAAUUUUCACCAAUCAUGUUUUUUAUUGAUCACAUGAGUUCAUUUCAAAAUAAUAAUAAUAAAAAAACUUUUUUACUUAUUCUAUUUUUUAAAAUCUUUUUCAGGGCAAAAGGUUUGGUGUCUGAUCUGAUUGGUCAAUUGGACAGUACAUCAGAAGGUAUAUUGUACCGGUGAAUAAUUAAAACCUGUGGAGUUUAUUUUGUUAAUGUCUGAUGAUGUAAAUGUGUGUUUGUUAGAUGAAUGGGAUCCAGUUAACCAGGAGGACUCCGACUCAGACCGGCUCACAGGUUUGGAGGAUUUCGGGAUUCUCCUGAGGCCUUUGGGUCUGAGUGAGAAGAAGCCUGUGCCUGAACCCAUUCCGUUCACUGAGCACGACCCACUCGGAGCCCUCGUGAGCGGAGCAGGCAGUGGAGGAGAAAACCUGCUCUACAGAGGUUCACUUUGUUUCAGAUUCAACAAUAUAGCAAUACAACAAUACAACAAUAUAGUUCAAAAUAUAGCCUAUGCAUGUCCUGUUUUUGUUCUAUCGAUCUAUUGAUUGAUCUUUUUUAAUCAUGUAUCUAUCAUUGUCUGUCACAAAAAUCUGUCCAUCUCUACCAUCUUUUAUAUCAUUCUACUCUAUCUAUUGUACUAUUGAUCUGUCUUUUGAUCUUUUUGUCUGUCUGUCUGUCGUUAUGUCUGUCUGUCUUUCUGUCAUUAUGUCUGUCUGUCUGUCUGUCUGUCUGUCUCCUGAUAUCUAUCUAUCUAUCUAUCUAUCUAUCUAUCUAUCUAUCUAUCUAUCUAUCUAUCUAUCUAUCUAUCUAUCUAUCUAUCUAUCUAUCUAUCUAUCUGUCUGUCUGUCUGUCUGUCUGUCUGUCUGUCUGUCUGUCUGUCUGUCUGUCUGUCUGUCUGUCUGUCUGUCUGUCUGUCUGUCUGUCUGUCUGUCUGUCUGUCUGUCUGUCUGUCUGUCUGUCUGUCUGUCUGUCUGUCUGUCUGCCUGUCUGCCUGUCUGUCAUUCUGUCUUUCAUUUUUCUGUCUGUCUAUCUUUCUGUCUACCUGUCUUUUUGUCUGCCAUUCUAGUUGUCUACCUGUCUGUCUGUUUAACUGUCUUUCUGUCUGUCUGUUGUUCUU
This is a long non-coding RNA of Danio rerio (zebrafish), 2195 nucleotides long. NCBI's taxonomy places the organism in Eukaryota, Metazoa, Chordata, Actinopteri, Cypriniformes, Danionidae. The record is from Ensembl.